Oryctolagus cuniculus (rabbit) is the source of this 904-nucleotide non-coding RNA. The record is from RefSeq and is a predicted model, not a curated record. NCBI's taxonomy places the organism in Eukaryota, Metazoa, Chordata, Mammalia, Lagomorpha, Leporidae.
AGGACCUGGGCGGGAGGAGGGGCCGGUCUCAUCACCUCUGCCCCGCAGGCCGCACUGGAGCCGCAGCCUCCCGUGAGCUCCCUGCCGGCUGACUGUGGGUGCUCGGCCGGCGGCUGCUGUGGCGGCAGGCACGGCCGCUCCUGCAGCGAGGCAAGCGGCUCCCCUACCUUCACCCACACCUUCCACCCAGCCCUCCUCACAUCCACAGCUGAGCCCCACCGGCGGGCCCACAGGGCUGGACGGCCGCCUGGGAGGUCAGCAGGACACGUGCGGAUCUCCCCCAGCGGCGUCAAACCCAGCCUCGCGGUGCCUAUCGGCAGAGCAGCCUUGGUGACCACCACACAGGACCAUGGCUUCGCAGGGCCCCACGCCUAGAUGCUGUCCAAACAGCGACGCCUCCCCGCCUGCAGGCCCAGGCCCAGCGCAGGUGGCCCGGGAGGCCGCGGCGGGGACAGACCUCCAGCGCGAUGAAGCUCUGCACGAUGUUGGUUCGGUCCAGGCAGUCCAGACAGUUCAUCCGCAAAGUACCUUUCUGGAAACUUCAGACAAGAACAAGUGCACACAGUUAUGGGCCGUGCUCAGAGGGGCAGUGCCCGCCCAUUCCCAGAGACACCUGUUCUGGUCGAGAACUCUCCCCACCUGCAGCCAGGCAGGACCCCGGCCCACAGCCCGAGGGGUCACCGGCACGGCUGGAGUGGCAGACACCAUAUCAAGGGGCCAGUACUAUGGCGAAGAGGAUUAAGCCACCGUGUCAGAGGGCCUGUUUUAGUUCUGGCAGCUCUGCUCCCGAUCCAGCUCCCUGCCAACGCCCCUGGGAAAGCAGUGGAAGGAGGCCCGAGUACGUGGGCCCCUGCCAUCAUGGGGGAUACCCGGAUGUAGUCCUGGCUCUUGACUUCAGCGUGGC